Molecule: ribosomal RNA, 423 nt
Filed under: uncultured Glomeromycotina
Lineage: Eukaryota; Fungi; Glomeromycota
Description: SSU rRNA
Rfam family: Eukaryotic small subunit ribosomal RNA
Source: RNAcentral
CGGUACGUACUGGCAUUGUUGGUUUCUCCCUUCUGACGAACCAUGAUGUCAUUUAUUUGGUGUUGUGGGGAAUCAGGACUGUUACUUUGAAAAAAUUAGAGUGUUUAAAGCAGGCUCACGCUUGAAUACAUUAGCAUGGAAUAAUGAAAUAGGACGUUUGAUUCUAUUUUGUUAGUUUCUAGGAUCGACGUAAUGAUUAAUAGGGAUAGUUGGGGGCAUUAGUAUUCAAUUGUCAGAGGUGAAAUUCUUGGAUUUAUUGAAGACUAACUACUGCGAAAGCAUUUGCCAUGGAUGUUUUCAUUAAUCAAGAACGAAAGUUAGGGGAUCGAAGACGAUCAGAUACCGUCGUAGUCUUAACCAUAAACUAUGCCGACUAGGGAUCGGAUGAUGUUAAUUUUUUAAUGACUCAUUCGGCGCCUUACG